UCAUUCGAGGAUUGAAAUCCACAAAAAUGAAAAACCCAACCCAGCCAUGACUCUCUUUCUACUCUCCCGCCUUCACUUCCGAAAGCCCAAGAAAUGUCUCCACCUCCACACGACGACCUCUCUCAUCUCACUCUUAGGCUCUUAGCUUCUUCCUCUUCUGCCGCUCUCCAAGCCUUGAAUUUCGACUGCGACGGCGUCAUCCUCGAGUCGGAGCACUUGCACCGCCAAGCUUACAACGACGCCCUUCGCUCACUUCAACGUCCGCUGCUCCUCUCAGCCCCUCAAUUGAAAAAUUUGGUAUUUUGUGUUUUGGUAAAAUGAAGUGUUUUGGUACUUUCCGGCGGAAGACGAUGAGGGCCGAGCCAAGAUCAUCGACACUCACUCGGGUUCUAAUUUGUUCUUUAUCAGUUUGUAGCUUCUCUGUGAUUUCAAUUUUGGGCAUAGAUUAUGAAAGUUGUGAACUUUCUAUCUAGUAUGUUAGAUCCUGGGCAUAGAUUAUGUUAGAUCCUGGUCUUGUAGGAUUGGUAAACUGAGAAAUUAAUGGACAUUCAUGCAUGCUUGACUUUGAUUAAUUGAAAACUGAGAAAUUAAGGUUCCAUCUGGAUGGAUUGACUUUAAAAAGCAAUAUGGAUUUGCCGACAAAGCUACAUUUGUUAGAAAAGCUAUACAACAUUAAGUAAAAUGUAUUUGUUGUAAUACUGGAUGCCAUAUAUUUGAAGUAAGAGUCGUUUGAAAUCCACUUGUUUUCUUGUUUUCUUUCAAUGCAAAAGUUAAGAUGUAUGGAAUCAAGCAACUUAACCUUAUAAUGUACCUAAAUCCUUAUGUUUUGGAAUCACUCCAUCCAAGUAGAGCCUUAGGUUCCAAGAGCCUCUCUUUACAUUACUCUGUUAUCGGUUUCUCUUGUCUUCUACCAUUGUUAGUAUCAGCGCUGUUGCAUAAGGGUUCUUGUGAGAGUGACUCUCUCUCUCUUUCUCUCUCACUCACACACAUCAUUGUAGGGGAAAGAGCUUGCUGUUUGCUCUGCUGCAACUAAAAUGAAUUGAAAGCCUUGUAGGACUUGUAAGUUUUUGAACCGAUGUGUUUAUUACAGUUAUUUGGUUUCUAUGUCUUCAGAACAUUUGUUUGUUCAUUUUUUUUAUUUCACCUUCCUUAUUUUGGGAGAGCUUUCAAGGGCUUGAUUGCUUUCUCGCUGGUAUGGUAACUGCUUUUGAAGCGCUAUUUUAAAAAAAAAAUUGUUAAAUCUUGUCAGAGACACAUGUUAUGACACAAUUAUCGACUUCUGCUUGCCAUAAGUACAAGUUAAUUACAAAUUUAUGCAUAGGUGACUAGGAUUGAUUCAGUUCCUCUUAAGUUAUAUUUUGGUGCAUUGUAGCGUAAGAGGUUGAAUGAAACCCCAUUCUCUUCACAUAUAAGUUUACCUGCAAAUUGAAUGGUUCCCUCCAUUUCCUAUGGUCACUGUUCUGGAGUUUUUUUUUUUUUUUUAACCCCAUUCUCUUCACAUAUAAGUUUACCUGCAAAUUGAGUGGUUCCCUCCAUUUCCUAUGGUCACUGUUCUGGAGUUUUUUUUUGGUGUCAGUUGUAUCCAGGCUUCUGGCUGAUCUAUUCAUGUUGAAAGUUCAAAAGAAAGUAAGACAUUUAAAUUCCAGCCCAUGAGUUUUUUCUUAAGACUAUUAUCUUAGAGUAUGAAAAAUGUUUACCCAGUAGGUUUUGGAUUCCUGCUGAUGAAUGGAGUUCCAAUAAGGAAGGAAGAUCCUUAUUGAUGUAGGAUUACCUGUAAUCCUUGUUGAUUAUAGAGAAGGGGAAGGCAUAAUUGCCUACCACCAAUAGGAAUAGGUUUCCUUUCCUAGUGAAGAAAGCUAAUAUCCUUACGGCUAUAUAAGGAGGGGUUCUGCUCUUGGUUUUGCAUAACAGAUACGGAGAGCAAAGUGUAUUCCAUUCUUGGAGUUAGAGAGUGAGAGAGGGCAAAGAAGAGAGAUAGGAAGAGAAGAGAGAGUCUUGUUUUCUUAUUCUUUCUGGUUGUUCAUCAAGUCUGUUUGAGGCUUGGUAUGAUUGUGUAUCCAUUAUAAAUAUAGUAGAAGAUUGUUUUGCUGGACCACCUUAAAUCUGUGUUCUUGUGCCCGUAUCUCUAUGGUUGUUUCUCUUGGUAUGCUGUGCUUAUUUGUGUUUUUCAACUUCACCUAUUGACCGAUUCUCAACGCUUAUAAGAGCUGUAACAAUCCUCCACAGAGAGCAAAUCUUGCAGCUGCUCCUUCUAUUGAGGGAAUGAUGAAUUCUACUGCAAAUCUUGCAGCUUUAAUUAAUGAGUUUGCUGCCUAUCUCAACAAGAAGCAGAUGCAUGGUAGGUGCGAGGAAACAAUUAUGGCUAGGAAUGAAAACCACACUGCACUCUUUGGAAAGUUUGCUGGCUUUGUUGCAGAAACUGAUUGUGUUCCAUGUGAAGAAGUGUCAGGUAGCUAAACUGCUUCUCAAUUCCUCUUAAUGUUAAUGCUAUGCAUAAUUAUUGUAUUAUACACUUAGGAUCUACGGAUCACAUGACAAAACAACUUACAAAUUUGCAUGAUUUAAAAAAAUUGUCCAUUCCUUCUCAAGUGUCUAUAGGCAAAGGUGCCUCAGUUUUGGGAAAAUAAAAAAUAAAUUUAAUCUCAAGUCUUAUUGAGUCAAUUGCUCUUUAUGUUCAUUUCUUUCUCUUCCAACUUUUAUAUGUCGGAAGAAUUAUAAACACCUUAAAAUGCUUUGCUAUUCUUAUGGUUUAACUGAGAAGGAGGGAGGCGUGCCAAUCUAGUGGUUACAUGAGAAUGUUGAGGCUGUUAGACUUUUAAUUUUAGCUGGAUUGGCUCAAGAUGAUGUGUCAAUCUUCUACACGCAGAUUCUAGCAUAUAAGUUCAUAACAGAGAAUCUAAUUCCGAAAAAAAUGUAGUGAAGUAGAGAGAACUAACUAGAGAUUGCUGACCUCUAUACUUUCUGUACUUCGAAAUGACGGGCUUCCCUACUCACCUUUCUAGUGUCUAGUUGCUUUCGCUGGUGCGCCAGCUUUUUUAUAAACUUUUGCUUUAGUUGUCUGUCUCUCUGAAGUGUUUUUGCAAUGAAAGUCUUUCGGGAUCAAAAAAGAAAAAAAAGAGAUUGCUGAGGUCGUUUCUCUCUCCUCAAUAAUACAUUAGUUCAUAUUACAGUAGAUGAGCACGUAAUCCAAUAUGGUCCUCUCCUUUUCCUUCAAUAAUGUAGAGUUGCUUUCUCAUCCAUUAUUGUGCUCCAUUAUUCGAUCUAGAAUUCAAGUUGCCAAAGCUCAAGAGAAACUGAGAAACAGCUCUUCAUCCUUCGAUACUGAAAGAGAGUACUUUCCCUCAUUGUUUUAGUUUCUGUUCUGAUAUCAUUUUCUUUCAAACGAGGCAUACAAGGUUGAACCCGUGGAAUUAAAGAGGGUCUUAUCUGAAGGCGCAUACAUGCUUCUUUAUGCAAGUCUUGUUAGGAAGUAACGCCCUUUCUCAUGCUGGGACAUCCUAUAGAAGGAACUCGGAAGCAGUCCCUUCAAGUCUUAGCAAAUCCAAGUUGAGAUACACGGUUCCAAGUAUGAAUAGUUCCGCAGGACAACCAAAGUC
This is an RNA transcript of Rosa rugosa (rugosa rose), 3596 nucleotides long. RefSeq lists it as uncharacterized. The record is from RefSeq and is a predicted model, not a curated record. Lineage: Eukaryota; Viridiplantae; Streptophyta; Magnoliopsida; Rosales; Rosaceae. The transcript is spliced from 3 exons.